GUCAAUUGGCCAUGCUGAUAGAGGCUGAUGGGAAUUGUAGUUCCUGAACAUCUGGAGAGCCGCAGGUUCCCUACCCCUGGUCUAGAGAACCUGGUUAAACUGAUACCUGCUGCAGUCAGCAGUAGAUGGCAAUUAAGAAGGCUAAUAAACUGUAGCUGUAAAUCAUGGGGCAAUGGAAGAAGAAAAGCCAUUGGUGAAGGCACCGUUAAAUCUGUGCAUCAGGACAUCAGUGUGACUCACAUGUUGCAGACCGCUGGCAGGAGGAAUCUCCUUUUAUUCACAUCCAGAUGUGUCUUUUCUUGCCCAAAUUGUCCUGCGUUUCAGUGCUGUCGUGAUACUGCAUGGAUUUAAAAGGGUUGAGUUGGAUGCCUUUCCUCCCAGGGUGUGGGGGGUGUAUAAUCAUGGGAAGGAGAGAAAAGACUGGAAUGGAAUCUAUCUAGUCAAGUGCAUUCUAUCCCUGUGUUUUCCUUAGUAGGAACUAGCAUCUUACAAAAAUGUAAUUUCAGUACAACGAGAAAGGGCCAGAAAUUAUAAAAAUACACUGAGUAUAAUAACAAUAAAUUAAAAUUGCUUUAUCCUGCUAAAACCCCUGUAGGUUAUCCAUGAUGUUCCUUUUGUCAGGCCAUAAUUUGGGGGUUCUUUUAUGCUCUAACCUUAGUUAACCAUUGUUAAUUUGACAACUUUUUUUUCAAUUUUCCCUUGAGAAAGAGGGGGGGGGGAAAUUGUAGCAAUUACUGUUUUCUUUCCCAGCUCUUACAAAUUCCUGGUAGGGGUAGAUGUUUGUGUUGCAAACAGCAACAGUCGUUCUAAUGUCAACUCAUUAGGUUGUUUUGGAACUUCUUUCUGAACAUUUUUUAUUUCCGCAGAUGAUCUCAAGAGUUGUAGUAUGAAAAAUGAACAGUCUUAAAUCCGAA
Long non-coding RNA from Sphaerodactylus townsendi, 914 nucleotides. RefSeq lists it as uncharacterized. The transcript has 2 exons. The record is from RefSeq and is a predicted model, not a curated record. NCBI's taxonomy places the organism in Eukaryota, Metazoa, Chordata, Lepidosauria, Squamata, Sphaerodactylidae.